CAACUAGGAAGUCACGUGACUCAAGGUGGCGUGGAGCCAGUAGAAGCUUGAAAGCCGAGAAAGAAGGAGGCGAGCUGGUGGACGUGAAGCUAGGAAGGAAAUCUUGCAGGUGCUUGGAACAAACUACGAAGGUCACCAACAUUCCGUUAACUUAGUUGACCCGCAGGACAAAACAACCCACACACAAUGUUGAGAAGAUAUGUGGAGGGAUGCCAAGUGCAAUCUCUGUGGAAGGAGGAAAAAAAAUAUAUAUCAGGUCACUGUUGGGCACCAUUGACCCCAACGAGCGCCUGCACGUGUUCUAGAGAUGGCCGCACUGCAGCUUAUUACAACCCCAGCUGCCCAUAGGAAUCUUUUGUCUCCAAUUUAAUUUUGAAUAUUUCCCUGAAAUGCUUAAGCCAAGACAUCUACAAGUUAAAAAUGUGCUACGGAACUACUUGAGCGAAGGCAAUGGUGCAAAGACAUCAUGUGUUACACACAGCACGUUACACACCUACAUGCAUAACAAUAGUGAUACUUUCAUAGACCAAAAAAUUUCAACUUGAAUAAGUGUUGUUCAGCAAGGGCAUAUGAGUGAGAGGAAAUAUUAGGGAUAGAGGGACAAGUUAAGGAGCAUUAUAGGAUGAAGAGGAUGGUGUGUGUUUCCUGUACCAUGAUGAAAGAAUAUCAAAUGACAAAAUAAAAACAUCAGUAACACAGUUCAGUGUCUGUUGGAGGAACAAAUGUAUAAAUUCCUUUAUCUUUUAGCUAGCAGUUUCCAUGAAACUACACUUCCCUCCUAGCAUUUUGUUAACUUCCAGUGCAGUAUUAAACCACUUCAGCCUUUCAGAGGAAGCGUGCACGCAGACACACACACACACACACAUAGUAAGAAGCUGAGGAAGGGAUGAUGUGUAAGAAAUAUUAAAAAGUAUAGUUUCCCGCAAAGAUGUAUUGAGACGUGGAACAGUUUGAAUUAAGAAGUAG
Molecule: long non-coding RNA, 966 nt
Organism: Portunus trituberculatus (swimming crab)
Lineage: Eukaryota; Metazoa; Arthropoda; Malacostraca; Decapoda; Portunidae
Exons: 4
Source: RefSeq, a predicted model, not a curated record